AGUGAACGCUGGCGGUAGGCCUAACACAUGCAAGUCGAACGGCAGCACAGUAAGAGCUUGCUCUUACGGGUGGCGAGUGGCGGACGGGUGAGGAAUACAUCGGAAUCUACUUUUUCGUGGGGGAUAACGUAGGGAAACUUACGCUAAUACCGCAUACGACCUACGGGUGAAAGCAGGGGAUCUUCGGACCUUGCGCGAUUGAAUGAGCCGAUGUCGGAUUAGCUAGUUGGCGGGGUAAAGGCCCACCAAGGCGACGAUCCGUAGCUGGUCUGAGAGGAUGAUCAGCCACACUGGAAGUGAGACACGGUCCAGACUCCUACGGGAGGCAGCAGUGGGGAAUAUUGGACAAUGGGCGCAAGCCUGAUCCAGCCAUACCGCGUGGGUGAAGAAGGCCUUCGGGUUGGAAAGCCCUUUUGUGGGGAAAGAAAAGCAGCAGGUUAAUACCCCGCUGUUCUGACGGUACCCAAAGAAUAAGCACCGGCUAACUUCGUG
RNAcentral lists this ribosomal RNA (492 nucleotides) under uncultured bacterium. RNAcentral's name for it is "partial 16S ribosomal RNA". It matches the Rfam family "Bacterial small subunit ribosomal RNA", at positions 29 to 507 of the family's 1533-position model. The record is from RNAcentral.